CAACAAGAAGCAAGAACACUUAAAGUAGAACACGAAGCGACACCUGCAAUUAGAAACCACCCAGACCAGCAUAGCUGAUAGCUUAGGCCUGCUUGAUUAUCGAGCUUAUCGAGAACGCGGAAAGAAGAACCGCACACACGAUAGGAUUUCCACACAUUUGCUCCCGACCGGUCCGCCCAAGCACCAUUAGACUGGGACCGUUGAAUCAACGCCAGGGCACAUCUCGGUUCAUGCCAUCGACCUGCACGAAUAUAGACAAAGGGUACGAGGAAAAACUAGAUGUGAGUGACUAACUAAAGCUAUACUAAAAUGGAUCUAAUAAAUAUGAAUUUUCCAGCUUUGAGCUGCGUCAAACAAACCGCUGCUUCAAGGAGUUUGUACUCAUCCCAACAAUCUCAAAGAUCUACGUGCAGUCUCGUAAAAUAGGAUGGCAACUAUACCUGGAAAUGUAUACCGAGAGUGCCGGAACUGUAAACAAUACGGACUGCUGGAGAAUAUGAAGAAUUGCCCCGGCUGCAGCUGCUCGUAUCACGCAGCUUGCUUAGGAAUCGAAGAAAAAAUCUUCCACGAAGGUUGG
This is a long non-coding RNA of Culex quinquefasciatus (southern house mosquito), 577 nucleotides long. RefSeq lists it as uncharacterized. The transcript has 4 exons. Lineage: Eukaryota; Metazoa; Arthropoda; Insecta; Diptera; Culicidae. The record is from RefSeq and is a predicted model, not a curated record.